UACAGAGGGUGCGAGCUUUAAUCGGAAUUACUGGGCGUAAAGCGUGCGUAGACGGUUAUCUAAGUCGGAUGUGAAAGCCCCGGGCUCAACCUGGGAAUUGCAUUCGAGACUGAAUAGCUAGGGUACGGUAGAGGGAAGUGGAAUUUCCGGUGUAGCGGUGAAAUGCGUAGAUAUCGGAAGGAACAUCAGUGGCGAAAGCGACUUCCUGGACCAGUACCGACGUUCAGGCACGAAAGCGUGGGGAGCAAACAGG
Molecule: ribosomal RNA, 253 nt
Filed under: uncultured bacterium
Lineage: Bacteria
Description: partial 16S ribosomal RNA
Rfam family: Bacterial small subunit ribosomal RNA
Source: RNAcentral